AAUGAAAUGCCUGAAAAAGGAUUAUUUUGAUAGAAUAAAUUAUACAUAUUUUAAAUUUGUUUUCAUUA
This 68-nucleotide transfer RNA is filed under the name Ochetellus glaber. Its description in RNAcentral is "tRNA-Ile". Lineage: Eukaryota; Metazoa; Arthropoda; Insecta; Hymenoptera; Formicidae. The record is from RNAcentral.